CCUACGGGAGGCAGCAGUAGGGAAUAUUGGUCAAUGGGCGAGAGCCUGAACCAGCCAUGCCGCGUGCAGGAAGACGGCCUUCUGGGUUGUAAACUGCUUUUGACCGGGAACAAAAUGCCCAUGCGUGGGCGCUUGAGUGUACCGGUAGAAUAAGCGCCGGCUAGCUCCGUCCCGGCAGCCGCGGUAAUACGGAGGGUGCGAGCGUUGUCCGGAUUUAUUGGGUUUAAAGGGUGCGUAGGCGGGCUUGUAAGUCAGUGGUGAAAUCCCGCAGCUUAACUGUGGAUGUCCCAUUGAUACUGCAGGUCUUGAGUACCGUUGGGGUAGGCGGAAUUUAUGGUGUAGCGGUGAAAUGCAUAGAUACCAUAAAGAACACCGAUACGCGUAGGCAGCUUACUGAAUCGGAGAUCUGAGCGUCUGAGGC
Molecule: ribosomal RNA, 421 nt
Filed under: uncultured bacterium
Lineage: Bacteria
Description: bacterial SSU rRNA
Rfam family: Bacterial small subunit ribosomal RNA
Source: RNAcentral